RNAcentral lists this ribosomal RNA (921 nucleotides) under Triticum aestivum (bread wheat). RNAcentral's name for it is "partial small subunit ribosomal RNA". Lineage: Eukaryota; Viridiplantae; Streptophyta; Magnoliopsida; Poales; Poaceae. The record is from RNAcentral.
AUGGAGGAGCGAGCUAAGUUGUUGGAAUGGGAGAAGCACUUGUUCUUCUUGGACACAUCUUUAUUCAAUGAUGCGCAAAAGGAAUAUGUUAACCUUGCCCGUGAAGAAGUCUUGAUCCAAAAAAGAGCCAUGAUCCGCACAAUGGGUGGCGGUGGCCUCGGCGCCAUGGGUGGCGGUGGCCUCGGCGCCAUGGGAGGCAUGGGUGGCUUGGGAGCCAUGGGAGGCAUGGGUGCACCUCCGGCCGCCAUGGGAGGCAUGAGUGGCUUUGGAGCACCCUCCGACGCUAUGGCCGCCAUGGGAGGCAUGAGUUUUGCUUCUCUCAUGGGAGGCAUGGGUGCACCUCCGGCCAUGGGUGGAAUGUCUUUCGAUUCUAACAGUAACACACCAUAUCCCGGCCCCUCCCACUGCGCGCGCAUUGCUGUAGGCACGAGGCUGGAGCUCCUCGUCCUCCUCUCCACGACCGGCAGCUUUCUUCUCGGCCUGGCGGCGGUGGCCGCCGGUGGCCUGGCUGGCCCAAACUACCCGACGUUUAGGCUGGCCAACCAGUUGAGUCCCGCGGUUGAUAUGAUUGCUGAUCCCAUCCGUGCAAGCCCUGUACAUGUCUUCUCUGAUGAUAUCGCACUUUUGUCCAGGUUCAUGUGGUGGAAUGCGGGCGACGGGGAGCUCACCAACGUCGAGCUCCUCGUCCUCAGCGCCGUGGAGUGGGUCGUCGCGUGUUUCACCUUCGGCUCAGCGUGUGCCGCCCUCGCCGUGGACCAGUUCGCCAUCCAGCACAGCUACUGCGGCCCGAGGGCCGCCGUUUGCUCAGUGUACCUUGUCGCCGCCGCGAUCUCAUGCGCCGCCGGGGCUCUCGCUGCCGUGUCCGCACUCGGGAUGCUAUGGAUCCUCGCCUCCCGGUUCCGCCCCGCUCACGCGGCCUAG